This 520-nucleotide ribosomal RNA is filed under the name uncultured bacterium. RNAcentral's name for it is "bacterial SSU rRNA". It matches the Rfam family "Bacterial small subunit ribosomal RNA", at positions 45 to 560 of the family's 1533-position model. The record is from RNAcentral.
UGCCUUACACAUGCAAGUCGAACGGUAACGCGGGGGCAACCCUGGCGACGAGUGGCGAACGGGUGAGUAAUACAUCGGAACAUAUCCAGUAGCGGGGGAUAACCUAUCGAAAGAUUGGCUAAUACCGCAUACGAUCUACGGAUGAAAGCGGGGGACCGCAAGGCCUCGCACUAUUGGAGUGGCCGAUGUCAGAUUAGCUAGUUGGUGGGGUAAAAGCCUACCAAGGCGACGAUCUGUAGCUGGUCUGAGAGGACGAUCAGCCACACUGGAACUGAGACACGGUCCAGACUCCUACGGGAGGCAGCAGUGGGGAAUUUUGGACAAUGGGCGCAAGCCUGAUCCAGCCAUGCCGCGUGAGUGAAGAAGGCCUUCGGGUUGUAAAGCUCUUUCGGUGAAGACGAAACGGUUAGCGCUAAUAACGCUGACUAAUGACGGUACUCACAGAAGAAGCACCGGCUAACUACGUGCCAGCAGCCGCGGUAAUACGUAGGGUGCAGGCGUUAAUCGGAAUUACUGGGCA